RNAcentral lists this ribosomal RNA (305 nucleotides) under uncultured bacterium. RNAcentral describes it as "partial 16S ribosomal RNA". It matches the Rfam family "Bacterial small subunit ribosomal RNA", at positions 508 to 808 of the family's 1533-position model. The record is from RNAcentral.
ACAGCAGCCGCCGCGGUAAUACGAAGGGGGCUAGCGUUGCUCGGAAUCACUGGGUGUAAAGGGUGCGUAGGCGGGUUUUUUAAGUCAGAGGUGAAAUCCUGGAGCUCAACUCCAGAACUGCCUUUGAUACUGAAAGUCUUGAGUAUGGGAGAGGUGAGUGGAACUGCGAGUGUAGAGGUGAAAUUCGUAGAUAUUCGCAAGAACACCAGUGGCGAAGGCGGCUCACUGGCCCAUAACUGACGCUGAGGCAUGAAAGCGUGGGGAGCAAACAGGAUUAGAUACCCGAGUAGUCCCUGUCUCUUAUA